Long non-coding RNA from Sarcophilus harrisii (Tasmanian devil), 2574 nucleotides. The record is from Ensembl. Lineage: Eukaryota; Metazoa; Chordata; Mammalia; Dasyuromorphia; Dasyuridae.
CUUCUUUGGAGGGAGAGACUUUUUUUUAACUAAAAGAAGAGGAGAGAAGAGAGUUUCCUGAAAGGAAUUUAUCUGGAAAUUAAGGUGAUACAAAAUAUAUCCAUUUUUAAAUUUUUUUGUAAUUAAUUUUAGUCCCUGGAGUUUCUUGGGAUUUACCCUCAAUAUCAACAAUGAAAGUUAAUUAUGGCUCCCUACUCCCUGCCUGCUCCUUCCUAAACAUUUCACAACCCAUCCUGGCUCCAGAAAAGCCAACCUCAGAUAUGCUGAUACCCAAAGGGCUCAAGUCAGCAGGAAUUCUGGGCUGUGGAGUUAUGGUCAGACCAUAUGCAAAUUUAUAAAUAGAGUCCAGGACACAUGAUUCAGGAUUGGACCAUCGAGAGUUCACAAUGUAAGGUGUAGGAUUCCAAACACACGAAUAAUAGGCUUGGUAUUAGACUCCACUUGUAAUAGGGAUGGGGCUGUAAGUGCCACAUGGCUUUUACUAACCCAGCUAGAGCUCUGCAGGUGUAAGGUGCAAGUUGUGAGGAUAUAUAACUGUCAGAUAUUCUCAAGGACAGACACAUCUAACUACCAUCCUUUAACCUGCUACUAGCAUUUUUCCUUAUUCAUUUUCUUAUUGGAUUCAAAGAACAUAAAGGUUAUGUUCUUCUAUUUCCCCAUAAAUUGCUAUAAAUUAAAAACCUCUCAACCAACUAAUUAGUUCCAAGCUGCAACGCCAGCUUAUAAAAACAGGAGAAUUUUGUUUGCUAUAAUAAAAACUUUCUCUCCUUUCUGCCUCACACUACAAACUUAAGAGUCUUAGACCAACAUCCGUGUUCCUAGUCAUAUAAUUUAUUAACAGUAACCAAUAAUUAAGAACUAUAGAUAAAUAUUUCAGCAAUGAAUGUAUCAGCUAUGAGAAAGGUGACAAAACAGAGUUACUUCUGCUGACUCCCCAAAACCUCUGGAACCACAAACUAACAAUUACAUUCUCUUAGAAUGGCAGUUAAAGUCUCUCGGGAAUUUUCCCCGGGAUGUUUUCUCCACAGAAUAAGAAUUAAACUCAAUUCUCUCAAAAUGUCUCUUCAGACUUUCUCAAAACUGACGAUUUACUCUCCAAGUUACUUAGAGACUUUCUCAAUGACAGUUAACUCUGAGGUCUCCUUUUAAAAGUUCUCAAUUCUCUCAUAGUGCCUCACAGACUCUUUUAACUUUGUUUUUUUGUUUCUUGAUGUCUCAUGAAGUCAUAACUUCCAUUCACCCAAUUUUAAUGUUUAAGGAGUUAUUUUCUUCAGUGAAUAAGAAUAAUUGCCUUCUUAAGAUGUUAUUUACUUUAGUAUUUUUGGUGCCUCUUUUAGCAAGCUGCUAAUUCUCUUUUCAUAAUUUUCUUGCCUCAUUCUCAUUUCUUUUCACAAUUUUCCCUCUAUCACUCCCCUCUUUAACUCUUCCAGGAAUUCUCAUUGGGCCUGGAUCCAAGCUUUUUUCACAGUGUCUUCUUCCAAGUUGUAUCUUGGUCUUCCUUGCAAUUAUAGCAGAUUUUUAUGAUUAAGUUCUAUUUUUUUUUUUUUUUGGCUACUUACUCAUUUAUCCAGUCUAUUUCUUGACUUUGAACUUUAUAUUAAAGUUGAACUCUGCUCACCUGGAGGUAUGACCCAGACUUGAGGCUUUUUGGGGCUAUUUUCAGAGCUAAUUCUAUAGGUCUGCUUUAACCCAGGAAGACCCCUGUUCCUCAAUAGCGAAAAAUGCCAGGCUCUUCUUGACCCUGGCAUGUGACCAGAUCCCCCGUUUCCCCGUGAGGAGCCACAAACGCUCCUUUGCACCCAGAGACUGUAAAGCUGCACUGCUUAUGGACAAUAGUGUUGCCAGACAAAGCCAGGUAAGUCCUGUCAUCUCUUUCUGACCAGCUGUCUGACCUCUUCACUCUCUCUGGUUGGAGAACUCUUGAGGUGCUCCUAUGACCGCUAUUGCUGCUGCUGCCAUAUUUGUGGACUCUGAACAGACCUUGACCCCAGUGUCAUAAACUUCUGCAGACCUCCUAUGUUUCUGUAGGCUGGAAAAAUGUCUCAUGCUGAUCUUUAGUUGGCUCUGCCACUCCAAAAUUUGACUUGAGGCGUUAUUUUAAAGCUGUUUGGAGACAAAUGUUGGGAGAAAUCAGCUGAGUUGCUCCCUCUAAUCUGCCAUCUUCCUUCACAGACUUUCUGAAAGACAGUUAACUAUCAUUCCCCCAAAUUCUAUCCCUCUCUCUUAAAGGUAUAGUAACAGGAACCAAAGUCUCUGUUGGGAGGGAGUUGGCAUUCAAACAUAAUGUCUUCUGUGAAUUUUGUUGGAGCACGUGAACUAUAUAACAAGCCCUUUCUUGGAGAACUUUGUCUUUAACUUUCCCAGAGUUUGGGGGAAAGGAAAAUUAGGUCGGUCCAUCUAGGAAUAUAAAUGAACCGUAAAAAACCCCACCAUGUCAUGGAAAAUAUUGUUGAUUGGUUGAGAACAAAGUUGAUAUUAGAGAUUAGAGCCGUGAGUUCAAGAGAGAGAUUGCAGGCAGACCAAUGCUGAUAUGGCAGGGGAUGUCUAGGAGGGGGUACACCAUCUCCAUUUAGG